GCUCGCUUAGGUAAGUGCUCAUCUCUGGCAGUAAAAUGGCCAAGAUCGACUUUAAAAGUUAAGACCUUGGGGAAAAAUUGCACCUUUUACCCGUUAGAAAAAUUAAAAAGAAAAAAACUUGCUAAAAUGAAAAUUUUACCUCCUUGUCCGUGGAGAUUCUCUUAAUUAAUGGGUCUUGCCAACAUUCUGGAUGAAGUUAUGCACUUGUGCUUCUUUGAAACUAGUCUAUUCUUGCCUUGAAUAUUAUAUCGGCCUACAACAUUUUGCAUAAAGCUGAAUCUAUUUUUUAUGGUGAAGUUAAUACUGAGUCUAUUUUUUUUUACGCAUAAAGCUGAGAUUUUGCAAUUGACAUGAUUUUUUGCAUUAUUCUCCAAAUUAUUGCAGUCAUGUCUACUGGAAGUACUAACAGUCCCAAUCAAGUCAUGACAUCACCAGAUUGGUCAGCUGAAAGUCCUACUCCAGCUCCAGCUCCAGCUCCUAGCUCGGCAGAUUCAGGAGGAAAAGAGCCAAAGAAGCGAGGUCCAUACAAGAAAAGAUCUACAGUUUGGUCACACUUCAAAGAAGUUGUUGAGGGUAAGAUUAGAUAUGGUGAAUGCCUUUUUUGCGAGAAACGCAUAGCUGCUGAUGGUAGGACUAAUGGUACAACUGGUUUGAGAAAUCAUAUAACCAGAUG
Molecule: long non-coding RNA, 673 nt
Filed under: Coffea arabica (coffee)
Lineage: Eukaryota; Viridiplantae; Streptophyta; Magnoliopsida; Gentianales; Rubiaceae
Description: long non-coding RNA (CARA_LNC000593)
Source: RNAcentral